This 500-nucleotide ribosomal RNA is filed under the name uncultured bacterium. RNAcentral's name for it is "partial 16S ribosomal RNA". It matches the Rfam family "Bacterial small subunit ribosomal RNA", at positions 28 to 523 of the family's 1533-position model. The record is from RNAcentral.
GAUGAAUGCUAGCGGCAGGCUUAAUACAUGCAAGUCGUGGGGCAGCAUGAGUAGCAAUACUUGAUGGCGACCGGCAAACGGGUGCGGAACACGUACACAACCUUCCGAUAAGUGGGGAAUAGCCCAGAGAAAUUUGGAUUAAUACCCCGUAACAUAUAGAGUAGGCAUCUUCUUUAUAUUAUAGCUUCGGCGCUUAUUGAUGGGUGUGCGUCUGAUUAGGUAGUUGGCGGGGUGACGGCCCACCAAGCCUACGAACAGUAGCUGAUGUGAGAGCGUGAUCAGCCACACGGGCACUGAGACACGGGCCCGACUCCUACGGGAGGCAGCAGUAAGGAAUAUUGGACAAUGGGCGAAAGCCUGAUCCAGCCAUGCCGCGUGAAGGAUUAAGGUCCUCUGGAUUGUAAACUUCUUUUAUUUGGGACGAAAAAAGGGAAUUCUUUCCCACUUGACGGUACCAAGUGAAUAAGCACCGGCUAACUCCGUGCCAGCCGCCGCGGUAA